CUUUCCUUGAUGACGACUGGCGCACGGGUGAGUAACGCGUAUCCAACCUUCCCAUAACUACGGGAUAACCCGUUGAAAGACGGCCUAAUACCGUAUGAUAUCGUUUGCUGACAUCAAAUAACGAUUAAAGGUUUAGCGGUUAUGGAUGGGGAUGCGUCUGAUUAACUUGUUGGCGGGGUAACGGCCCACCAAGGCAACGAUCAGUAGGGGUUCUGAGAGGAAGGUCCCCCACAUUGGAACUGAGACACGGUCCAAACUCCUACGGGAGGCAGCAGGA
RNAcentral lists this ribosomal RNA (277 nucleotides) under uncultured Prevotella sp. Its description in RNAcentral is "partial 16S ribosomal RNA". It matches the Rfam family "Bacterial small subunit ribosomal RNA", at positions 79 to 354 of the family's 1533-position model. Lineage: Bacteria; Pseudomonadati; Bacteroidota; Bacteroidia; Bacteroidales; Prevotellaceae. The record is from RNAcentral.